RNAcentral lists this ribosomal RNA (460 nucleotides) under uncultured bacterium. Its description in RNAcentral is "partial 16S ribosomal RNA". It matches the Rfam family "Bacterial small subunit ribosomal RNA", at positions 338 to 795 of the family's 1533-position model. The record is from RNAcentral.
CCUACGGGAGGCAGCAGUGAGGAAUAUUGGUCAAUGGGCGGAAGCCUGAACCAGCCAAGUAGCGUGCAGGAUGACGGCCCUACGGGUUGUAAACUGCUUUUAUACGGGAAUAACGCGCCUUACGUGUAGGGCUUUGCAUGUACCGUAUGAAUAAGGACCGGCUAAUUCCGUGCCAGCAGCCGCGGUACUACGGAAGGUCCGGGCGUUAUCCGGAUUUAAUGGGUUUAAAGGGAGCGUAGGCCGCAUGUCAAGCGUGCUGUGAAAUGUCCGGGCUCAACCCGGGCCUUGCAGCGCGAACUGGCGUGCUUGAGUCCGCGGAAAGCAGGCGGAAUUCGUCGUGUAGCGGUGAAAUGCUUAGAUAUGACGAAGAACCCCGAUUGCGAAGGCAGCUUGCUGCAGCGGAACUGACGCUGAUGCUCGAAAGCGCGGGUAUCGAACAGGAUUAGAUACCCCAGUAGUC